Gavialis gangeticus (Gharial) is the source of this 322-nucleotide long non-coding RNA. RefSeq lists it as uncharacterized. The record is from RefSeq and is a predicted model, not a curated record. Lineage: Eukaryota; Metazoa; Chordata; Crocodylia; Gavialidae. The transcript has 4 exons.
UGGAGACUGACAACAUCAAGGUUGUGGCAACAGGAGUCUAGAAAAUGCAGAUUUUAUUACACCCUUGUCUUACAGUCUGUAUAGAUUCUUUGAUAACUUUUCUGCCCUGAAUCAAGCUGGCAAGUUUUUUGCUGAAGCACCCCAUCUGUACUGUGAAGUUCUCAUCUCUGUGUCUCACCAGGCUGCCACAAGGAAAAAUGUAUUAAUGUUUAUGAGAAGCUUGGAAUCUACUAUGGGAGUCACAAAGCAGAUCCAAUCUCUCCCUGAAAAUGUGCAAGGAGCCCACCAUGUCUGCUGAGCUGUGAAAAUCCAGAUGGCAGCA